RNAcentral lists this small RNA (79 nucleotides) under Marmota monax (woodchuck). Lineage: Eukaryota; Metazoa; Chordata; Mammalia; Rodentia; Sciuridae. The record is from RNAcentral.
GCCAGGUGUGGUGGCGCAGGCCUGUAAUCCCAGCGGCUCGGGAGGCUGAGGCAGGAAGAUAGUUUAAAGCCAGCCUCAG